Molecule: ribosomal RNA, 279 nt
Filed under: uncultured bacterium
Lineage: Bacteria
Description: partial 16S ribosomal RNA
Rfam family: Bacterial small subunit ribosomal RNA
Source: RNAcentral
UGCCAGCAGCCGCGGUAAUACGGAGACUGCAAGCGUUAUUCGGAUUCACUGGGCGUAAAGGGUGCGCAGGCGGUUAUGUGUGUCAGGUGUGAAAUCUCGGAGCUCAACUCCGAAACUGCGCCUGAAACUACAUGACUAGAGUAUCGGAGAGGUGAGCGGAAUUCAUGGUGUAGCAGUGAAAUGCGUAGAUAUCAUGAGGAACACCAGAGGCGAAGGCGGCUCACUGGACGAUUACUGACGCUCAGGCACGAAAGCAUGGGUAGCGAAAGGGAUUAGAUA